RNAcentral lists this ribosomal RNA (926 nucleotides) under uncultured Lentimicrobium sp. RNAcentral describes it as "bacterial SSU rRNA". It matches the Rfam family "Bacterial small subunit ribosomal RNA", at positions 11 to 936 of the family's 1533-position model. Lineage: Bacteria; Pseudomonadati; Bacteroidota; Bacteroidia; Bacteroidales; Lentimicrobiaceae. The record is from RNAcentral.
GUUUGAUCCUGGCUCAGGAUGAACGCUAGCGGCAGGCUUAAUACAUGCAAGUCGAACGGGAUUCGGGGUAGCAAUACUUUGAUGAGAGUGGCGCACGGGUGCGUAACGCGUAUGCAACCUACCUUUAACAGGGGAAUAGCCCCGAGAAAUCGGGAUUAAUACUCCGUAACAUUGCGGUGUGGCAUCACACUGCAAUUAAAGAUUUAUCGGUUAAAGAUGGGCAUGCGUGACAUUAGCUAGUUGGUGAGGUAACGGCUCACCAAGGCAACGAUGUCUAGGGGUCCUGAGAGGGUUAUCCCCCACACUGGUACUGAGACACGGACCAGACUCCUACGGGAGGCAGCAGUAAGGAAUAUUGGUCAAUGGGCGCAAGCCUGAACCAGCCAUGCCGCGUGCAGGAAGACGGCCCUAUGGGUUGUAAACUGCUUUUAUCAGGGAAUAAACCCCCGCUCGUGAGCGGGGCUGAAGGUACCUGAAGAAUAAGCAUCGGCUAACUCCGUGCCAGCAGCCGCGGUAAUACGGAGGAUGCAAGCGUUAUCCGGAUUCAUUGGGUUUAAAGGGUGCGCAGGCGGAUUGGUAAGUCAGGGGUGAAAUCCCACAGCUCAACUGUGGAACUGCCUUUGAUACUGUCAGUCUAGAGUAUAGUUGAAGUUGGCGGAAUGUGUCAUGUAGCGGUGAAAUGCUUAGAUAUGACACAGAACACCGAUCGCGAAGGCAGCUAGCUAAGCUAUAACUGACGCUCAUGCACGAAAGCGUGGGGAUCAAACAGGAUUAGAUACCCUGGUAGUCCACGCUGUAAACGAUGAUUACUCGAUGUUGGCGAUACACAGUCAGCGUCUGAGCGAAAGCAAUAAGUAAUCCACCUGGGGAGUACGAUCGCAAGAUUGAAACUCAAGGAAUUGACGGGGGCCCGCACAAGCGGAGGA